GGGGAAUAUUGGACAAUGGGCGCAAGCCUGAUCCAGCCAUGCCGCGUGGGUGAAGAAGGCCUUCGGGUUGUAAAGCCCUUUUGUUGGGAAAGAAAAGCAGCCGGCCAAUACCCGGUUGUUCUGACGGUACCCAAAGAAGUAGCACCGGCUAACUUCGUGCCAGCAGCCGCGGUAAUACGAAGGGUGCAAGCGUUAAUCGGAAUUACUGGGCGUAAAGCGCGCGUAGGUGGUUCGUUAAGUUGGAUGUGAAAGCCCCGGGCUCAACCUGGGAACUGCAUCCAAAACCGGCGAGCUAGAGUAUGGCAGAGGGCGGUGGAAUUUCCUGUGUAGAGGUGAAAUGCGUAGAUAUAGGAAGGAACACCAGUGGCGAAGGCGACCACCUGGACUGAUACUGACACUGAUGUGCGAAAGCGUGGGGAGCAAACA
This 426-nucleotide ribosomal RNA is filed under the name uncultured Gammaproteobacteria bacterium. Its description in RNAcentral is "bacterial SSU rRNA". It matches the Rfam family "Bacterial small subunit ribosomal RNA", at positions 356 to 774 of the family's 1533-position model. The record is from RNAcentral. Lineage: Bacteria; Pseudomonadati; Pseudomonadota; Gammaproteobacteria.